UAACCUCUGAUGUAUAUGUAUGUUA
RNAcentral lists this non-coding RNA (25 nucleotides) under unclassified sequences. The record is from RNAcentral.